Molecule: long non-coding RNA, 404 nt
Organism: Leucoraja erinaceus (little skate)
Lineage: Eukaryota; Metazoa; Chordata; Chondrichthyes; Rajiformes; Rajidae
Exons: 2
Source: RefSeq, a predicted model, not a curated record
UUAUUAUAUAGAGUAACUGUUAAGGAAUUUUUCCAAGACCUAUUUGGGCAUGGAUAAUUUAGAAGAUAAGGUUGUGCACUGGUUCCCUUGUAAAGUUUAUAUUCUUGUAAAUUGAUUAGUGCAUGUGCACCAAUCAGAGUAAUGUACUAACACUAGCUCACCUUACUGUACACUUUAUAUUAACACUCACUUCCCAUAUUACGUAGUUACUCCGGUGGUAGAGAUGAACUAACAACGUGAGUUUGAUGUGGCCCUUGUGGCUAAGGGGAUCAGAGGGUAUGGAGAGAAGGCAGGUACGGGAUACUGAGUUGGAUGAUCAGCCAUGAUCAUAUUGAAUGGCGGUGCAGGCUCGAAGGGCCGAAUGGCCUACUCCUGCACCUAAUUUCUAUGUUUCUAUGUAUUGU